Hydra vulgaris (swiftwater hydra) is the source of this 944-nucleotide non-coding RNA. Lineage: Eukaryota; Metazoa; Cnidaria; Hydrozoa; Anthoathecata; Hydridae. The record is from RefSeq and is a predicted model, not a curated record.
AUUUGAUUUAGUAUUUGUUUGAUUAAUUAAAAUGAUAAUAUUGGUAUGUAUACUUCACUAAGUAGCAAAAUGCGCAUUGUGAUUCCAAAAUAUCAAUCUGCAUUUAGUUCAGAGGCAUCUUACACAGUAUACUGUGUUGAAGUUAUUCAUAAUGGGAAAGUUAUAAAUUUGCAAAAACGUUAUAGUGAAUUUUAUGAUUUGCAUAAAAAGCUUCAAAAGGUUUUAAAUAUAAAGUUUGCGUUUCCUCCAAAAAGAGUUUUAAAUAAAGAUAAAAACUUAUUAGAAAUGAGAAGGGAGAUGCUAGAAUUGUUUUUGCAGGCUGUAUUAAAUGAAGUUCAAAUGGACAUUCCAAAUAUUUUACUUGAAUUUCUACAGCUUUCCAGCGAUAAAGAUUUUUCCAAAGAUCUACAAAUAGGCACAGAAAAACAAAGAAGUUAUACAAACCAUCAACAAAUGAUUUGUUUCAAAAAACAUGCUUACUUACAUGAAUCUGUCUGUGCAUAAAGGGAAAGAAACAGUAAAAAGAUUCGACUUUACUGAAUGACUAGCAAAGCGAAAAUGAGUUUUGGAUCAGAUUAAAGAUUGGCUUUUGGAUCAGAUUCAAGAUUGGCUGCUUGUUCAAAGCAAUCAAAAACUGAAGACUUUAUUUAGACAGGAGUAUGAAGUUGGGUCAUCAGAAAAUACUUUAGAUAAAUUGCAGAAGAAAAGAUUUUGUCAUGCAUUAUCACUAAAGGAUGUCUUAAUGGGAUAUAUAAUUAAUGUUUGAAGAGGUAAGGUAAACUAAUAACCAGUUUCCUUAAAGGUAUGAAGAGUUUUAACCACGAUUAUUACACUUGUAAAAUUAUUUAUUUGCACACCUUUUUUUUUCUUUGUAAUAUACUGAGAUUUGUACCAGCAUUUUUUAAAUUUAAACCUUGUAUAUAUUUGCUCUAUUUAAUUUUUUA